RNAcentral lists this small nucleolar RNA (122 nucleotides) under Castor canadensis (American beaver). Its description in RNAcentral is "Small nucleolar RNA SNORA42/SNORA80 family (ENSCCNG00000020449.1)". It matches the Rfam family "Small nucleolar RNA SNORA42/SNORA80 family". Rfam says of the family: The members of this family belong to the H/ACA class of snoRNAs that guide the sites of modification of uridines to pseudouridines. Human ACA42 (SNORA42) was cloned from HeLa cells by immunoprecipitation with anti-GAR1 antibody. The record is from Rfam by way of RNAcentral. Lineage: Eukaryota; Metazoa; Chordata; Mammalia; Rodentia; Castoridae.
GCGGGAAGGGGAGCUAUUUUGCCCCCUGGGCAAAAUAGUGUCCCAUGCCAGAGCAAACUAGUUCCAAACCAUUGCCUGGCCUCUAUCUGUAGGCUGCUGACACUGAAGAGAGCUGCACAGUG